GUUAGUGGCGAAGGGGUGAGGAAUAGAUAGGAACGUACCCUGUGCUCUGGGAUAGCGUCUGAAGCUUCGGCUUCUUCCGAAAGGGGCGGUAAUACCAGAUAAUGUCCUUCGGGACCAAAGAUUUAUCGGCAUUGGAGCGGCCUAUCUCCUAUCAGCUUGUUGGUGAGGUAACGGCUCACCAAGGCAACGACGGGUAGCGGGACUGAGAGGUUGGCCCGCCACAUCGGGACUGAGACACUGCCCGGACCUCCACGGAGGGCUGCAGUAACGGAUAUUGGGCAAUGGGCGAAAGCCUGACCCAGCAAUGCCGCGUGCAGGAUGAAGCCCCUAGGGGUGUAAACUGCUGUCAGGGGUCAGAAAGCUGGUUUCGGCCAGUUGAUCAACCCCAGAGGAAGUCACGGCUAACUUCGUGCCAGCAGCCGCGGUAAUACGAAGGUGGCAAGCGUUAUUCGGAAUCAUUGGGCUUAAAGGGCACGCAGGCGGAACAGUGUGUGUUGUGUGAAAUCCCCCGGCUUAACCGGGGAAUUGCACAGCAAACUGCUGUUCUUGAGGCAGGUAGGGGUGCAUGGAACUCUUGGUGGAGCGGUGGAAUGCGUAGAUAUCAAGAGGAACGCCAGAGGUGAAGACGGUGCACUGGGCCUGUCCUGACGCUGAGGUGCGAAAAGCGUGGGGGAGCGAACGGGAUUAGAUACCCCGGUAGUCCACGCCGUAAACGAUGUCUAACUAGGUCGUGGGUGUUCUGACACAUUCACGGCCGGAGCAAAAGUGUUUAGUAGACCGCUUGGGGAGUACGGCCGCAAGGUUAAAACUCAAAUGAAUUGACGGGAGCUCACACAAGCGGUGGAGCAUGUGGAUUAAUUCGAAGCAACGCGCAGAACCUUACCUGGGUUUGACAUGCUGGGAUGCCUUCUCUGAAAGGAGUUAGGCUGCCUUCGGGUGAAACUUGCACAGGUGCUGCAUGGCUGUCGUCAGCUCGUGUCGUGAGAUGUCGGGUUAAGUCCUUUAACGAGCGAAACCCUUGCCGUUAGUUGCCAGCGAGUAAUGUCGGGGACUCUAACGGGACUGCCGGUGUUAAACCGGAGGAAGGUGGGGAUGACGUCAAGUCCUCAUGGCCUUUAUGCCCAGGGCUUCACACGUGGUACAAUGGCAAUUACAGAGCGACGCGAUACCGCGAGGUGGAGCAAAUCGCAAAAAAAUUACCUCAGUUCGGAUUGCAGGCUGGCAAUUCGCCUGCAUGAAGUCGGAAUCGCUAGUAAUCGCGUAUCAGCAAUGACGCGGUGAAUGUGUUCCUGAGCCUUGUACACACCGCCCGUCAAGUGAUGGAAGCCGGGAGUACCCGAAGUCGGGUUGCUAACC
RNAcentral lists this ribosomal RNA (1356 nucleotides) under uncultured organism. RNAcentral describes it as "bacterial SSU rRNA". It matches the Rfam family "Bacterial small subunit ribosomal RNA", at positions 91 to 1440 of the family's 1533-position model. The record is from RNAcentral.